Molecule: ribosomal RNA, 250 nt
Filed under: uncultured prokaryote
Description: partial 16S ribosomal RNA
Rfam family: Bacterial small subunit ribosomal RNA
Source: RNAcentral
UACGUAGGGUGCAAGCAUUAUCCGGAGUGACUGGGCGUAAAGAGUUGCGUAGGUGGUUUAUUAAGUAGGUAGUGAAAGCUGACGGCUCAACCGUACAGACUAUUAUCUAAACUGGUAAACUCGAGAAUGGUAGAGGUAACUGGAAUUUCUUGUGUAGGAGUGAAAUCCGUAGAUAUAAGAAGGAACACCAAUGGCGUAGGCAGGUUACUGGACUUUGACCGACUCUGAAAGACGAAAGCGUGGGGAGCAA